This 3266-nucleotide long non-coding RNA is filed under the name Arabidopsis lyrata. RNAcentral describes it as "long non-coding RNA (ALYR_LNC003186)". Lineage: Eukaryota; Viridiplantae; Streptophyta; Magnoliopsida; Brassicales; Brassicaceae. The record is from RNAcentral.
UAUCACUUCUGGUGGGUUCCAAAAGCCGAAGAAGAACGGCAACCUUCUUGUGUGGAUACUAGUGCCAAUCCUAGGAGCACUCGUCAUUCUCUCUAUAUGUGCAGGCGCAUUUACCUACUACAUUCGGAAACGAAAACCACACAAUGGAAGAAACACAGAUUCUGAAACUGGAGAGAAUAUGUCCAUAUUCAGCGUUGAUGGCAAAUUCAAAUACCAAGAUAUCAUCGAAUCAACAAACGAAUUCGAUCAAAGAUACCUCAUCGGAAGCGGAGGAUACAGCAAAGUCUACAAAGCAAACCUCCCAGAUGCGAUCGUAGCCGUGAAAAGGCUACAUGAUACAAUAGACGAAGAGAUAUCAAAGCCAGUGGUGAAGCAAGAGUUCCUAAACGAAGUAAGAGCGUUAACAGAGAUCCGUCACCGCAACGUGGUGAAGCUCUUCGGCUUCUGCUCCCACCGCCGCCACACGUUUCUGAUCUACGAGUACAUGGAAAAAGGAAGUUUAAACAAACUCUUAGCCAACGAAGAAGAAGCUAAGCGACUCACUUGGACCAAGAGGAUCAACAUCGUGAAAGGUGUGGCUCACGCGUUAUCGUAUAUGCACCAUGACCGAUCAACUCCGAUCGUCCACCGUGAUAUUAGCAGCGGCAACAUCCUUCUCGAUAAUGAUUACACAGCUAAGAUCUCUGAUUUUGGCACAGCGAAGCUUCUCAAGACGGAUUCAUCAAACUGGUCCGCCGUUGCUGGAACCUACGGCUACGUCGCUCCAGGUAAAUCUAAAUCAAUGAAAUUAAAAAAUCCCUAAAUUAAUUCGAAAUUGAAAUUGACUGUUUCUGAAAUUUUCGCAACAGAGUUUGCUUACACGAUGAAGGUGACGGAGAAAUGCGAUGUGUAUAGCUUCGGGGUUUUGAUACUCGAGGUUAUAAUGGGGAAGCAUCCGGGAGAUUUGGUUGCGAGUUUGUCUUCGUCUCCGGGAGAAACUCUGUCCCUGAGAAGCAUUUCCGAUGAACGUAUAUUAGAACCACGGGGGCAGAAUAGAGAGAAGCUCAUAAAGAUGGUGGAAGUGGCUUUAUCGUGUUUACAAGCAGAUCCGCAAUCUCGGCCAACGAUGUUAUCAAUCUCUACAGCUUUUUCUUAGAACUCAUCUUCAUCAAUUUCUUCGACGAGGUAAAGAAAAUAACAAACUUUUUUAUAUAUUAUAAAUGUGUUUAUCAAUGCAACCGUAGUUAAAAAUUAAAAUCGUUUUUUUGGAAAGAAGGGAAGAAGAAAGAGAAGUCGUAAGGUGAAAGAAGAAUAAAGAAGAAAAGAACUUUGCUCUACUUUCUCUGCUCUACUUUCUCUGCUCAUUGCAAUGUCACUUCACGCCGUUCGAGUACUAUCCUGUGUUCUCUCUCUAAACCUUCACUUAAUUUGGCUAAACCUGUGUCUGGAUUUCUUUCUCCUUCCACUGCGUCGACGUCUCGAACCGCAUUCACCGUCGCUCCUAAAUCUCAAGAACUUGACUGUUCUUUAUCUUCAUCAGAAUUAUAUAACUGGUGUCAUUCCCCCAGAACUAGGCAACAUGGAAUCCAUGAUUGAUUUAGAGUUAAGUCAGAACAAUCUUACUGGUUCAAUUCCUUCUUCUUUUGGUAACUUUACCAAGCUGGAAAGUUUGUACCUCCGUGAUAACCACCUCUCUGGUACGAUCCCGCGAGGAGUGGCAAACUCUUCAGAGCUAACUGAAUUGCUACUCGACAUAAACAAUUUCACCGGUUUCUUGCCUGAAAACAUUUGCAAAGGUGGCAAGCUUCAGAAUUUUUCAUUAGAUUAUAAUCACCUCGAAGGUCAUAUCCCGAAAAGCUUGAGAGAUUGCAAGAGCCUGAUCAGAGCAAAAUUUGUAGGGAACAAAUUCAUUGGAAAUAUUUCUGAAGCAUUUGGGGUUUACCCAGAUCUUGAUUUCAUUGAUCUCAGCCAUAAUAAAUUCAACGGUGAAAUUUCAAGCAACUGGCAGAAGAGUCCAAAGCUAGGUGCCUUGAUCAUGUCAAACAACAACAUCACAGGUGCUAUUCCACCAGAGAUUUGGAACAUGAAACAACUGGGCGAGCUAGAUCUGUCUACCAACAACCUCACUGGUGAGCUUCCAGAAGCAAUUGGAAAUCUCACGGGUUUGUCGAAGCUACUACUGAAUGGGAAUAAGUUAUCUGGAAGAGUUCCUACGGGUUUAAGUUUCUUAACCAAUCUUGAGUCUCUUGACUUAUCCUCAAACAGAUUCAGCUCCCAGAUCCCACAAACCUUCGACUCCUUUUUAAAGCUUCAUGAAAUGAACCUGAGCAAAAACAAUUUCGAUGGACGCAUUCCCGGACUAACAAAGCUGACUCAGUUAACGCAUCUUGAUCUCAGCCACAACCAGCUCGACGGAGAAAUCCCAUCACAGCUCAGCUCCUUGCAGAGCCUCGACAAGCUCAACCUCUCACACAACAAUCUCUCAGGUUUCAUUCCAACAACUUUCGAGAGCAUGAAAGCGCUGACGUUCAUCGAUAUAUCAAAUAAUAAACUCGAGGGUCCGCUUCCAGACAAUCCAGCGUUUCAAAACGCAACAUCAGAUGCAUUGGAGGGAAACAGAGGCUUAUGCAGUAAUAUUCCUAAACAAAGGUUGAAAUCAUGCCCUAUCACUUCUGGUGGGUUCCAAAAGCCGAAGAAGAACGGCAACCUUCUUGUGUGGAUACUAGUGCCAAUCCUAGGAGCACUCGUCAUUCUCUCUAUAUGUGCAGGCGCAUUUACCUACUACAUUCGGAAACGAAAACCACACAAUGGAAGAAACACAGAUUCUGAAACUGGAGAGAAUAUGUCCAUAUUCAGCGUUGAUGGCAAAUUCAAAUACCAAGAUAUCAUCGAAUCAACAAACGAAUUCGAUCAAAGAUACCUCAUCGGAAGCGGAGGAUACAGCAAAGUCUACAAAGCAAACCUCCCAGAUGCGAUCGUAGCCGUGAAAAGGCUACAUGAUACAAUAGACGAAGAGAUAUCAAAGCCAGUGGUGAAGCAAGAGUUCCUAAACGAAGUAAGAGCGUUAACAGAGAUCCGUCACCGCAACGUGGUGAAGCUCUUCGGCUUCUGCUCCCACCGCCGCCACACGUUUCUGAUCUACGAGUACAUGGAAAAAGGAAGUUUAAACAAACUCUUAGCCAACGAAGAAGAAGCUAAGCGACUCACUUGGACCAAGAGGAUCAACAUCGUGAAAGGUGUGGCUCACGCGUUAUCGUAUAUGCACCAUGACCGAUCAACUCCGAUCG